UAUCUGUCAUUCAGUUGAUGGGUUCGGGAUCCUCGUCAUUUACUUUGAGAAAAUUAGAGUGUUUAAGGCAGACAUUUGUCGUGAAUACAUUAGCAUGGAAUAAUAAGAUAGGACUUCGGCACUGCUGCUGUUGCCUUCGGGCGACGGGCGUUCUAUUUUGUUGGUUUCUAGAGCUGAAGUAAUGAUUGAUAGGGAUAGUUGGGGGCGCUCGUAUUGCUUGGCCAGAGGUGAAAUUCUCGGAUUCAAGUAAGACGAACUAAUGCGAAAGCAUCCGUCAAGGAUAUCCUCUUUAAUCAAGAACGAAAGUUGGGGGAUCGAAGACGAUCAGAUACCGUCGUAGUCUCAACCAUAAACGAUGCCGACUAGGGAUUGGACGAUGUCGCAUUUAAAGACUCGUUCAGCACCUUAUUCGAGAAAUCAUAAGUCUUCGGGUUCUGGGGGGAGUACGGUCGCAAGGCUGAAACUUAAAGGAAUUGACGGAAGGGCACCACCAGGCGUGGAGCCUGCAGCUUAAUUUGACUCAACAC
Molecule: ribosomal RNA, 527 nt
Filed under: uncultured marine eukaryote
Lineage: Eukaryota
Description: bacterial SSU rRNA
Rfam family: Eukaryotic small subunit ribosomal RNA
Source: RNAcentral